AGCAGCCGCGGUAAUUCCAGCUCCAAUAGCGUAUAUUAAAGUUGUUGCAGUUAAAAAGCUCGUAGUUGAAUUUCGGGAUCAAAUUGUCGGUCGUGCCUCGGUACGUACUGGCGCUAUUGGUUCCUCCCUUCUGAAGAACCGCGAUGUCAUUAAUUUGGUGUCGCGGGGAAUCAGGGACUGUUACUUUGAAAAAAUUAGAGUAGUUUAAAGCAGGCUCGCGCUUGGAUACAUUAGCAUGGAAUAAUGAAAUAGGACGUUUGAUUCUAUUUUGUUGGUUUCUAGGAUCGACGUAAUGAUUAAUAGGGAUAGUUGGGGGCAUUAGUAUUCAAUUGUCAGAGGUGAAAUUCUUGGAUUUAUUGAAGACUAACUACUGCGAAAGCAUUUGCCAAGGAUGUUUUCAUUAAUCAAGAACGAAAGUUAGGGGAUCGAAGACGAUCAGAUACCGUCGUAGUCUUAACCAUAAACUAUGCCGACUAGGGAUCGGAUGAUGUUAAUUUUUAAUGACUCAUUCGGCGCCUUA
RNAcentral lists this ribosomal RNA (520 nucleotides) under uncultured Glomus. RNAcentral's name for it is "SSU rRNA". It matches the Rfam family "Eukaryotic small subunit ribosomal RNA", at positions 569 to 1090 of the family's 1831-position model. Lineage: Eukaryota; Fungi; Glomeromycota; Glomeromycetes; Glomerales; Glomeraceae. The record is from RNAcentral.